Molecule: long non-coding RNA, 631 nt
Organism: Quercus robur (English oak)
Lineage: Eukaryota; Viridiplantae; Streptophyta; Magnoliopsida; Fagales; Fagaceae
Exons: 2
Source: RefSeq, a predicted model, not a curated record
ACGACGUCAUUCCCCCUUCCCCUGAAAUCAAAAGAAAGAAAUCCCUGAGAAUUAAAAAUCACCCAAAGAUUUGGCUCGGGAGAGAGAGAAUGGAGGAGUCGAUCUGAAGCUUUUGUGGAAGCUUAAGUUCAUUCUGCAACCACGUCGAGUCCAGUUGCGACGCUCUCAAGCAAUCCAGCACGCCGCGUAUCAAUCGCAACCGACGAUCUCAACCUCUUCGGCACCGUCUCUUUCGAAGAGCUCUUAGGUUACUGCAAUGAGGUCUACAAGAAGAACCAGUCCGAUCUCACCGAACUCGAACUUCGCCUCAAGGACUUUGGAUACAGUCCCGAAGUUGAGCUUGAUGAUGAAGAUGAGGUUCGUAGUAUAUCUUUCUUUUGAUUUCAGGGGAAGGGGAACGACAACUCCCCUUAAUGUUUUCUUUUUUUUCAGAUUUUUCAGUUCUUACGGCAGUAGUAACUGAGUAGUAACGGAAUCUUGAAUUGACAAAAAAUUGAAAGUUAGAAGACUGAAUUGGCAAAAAUGAAAGUUAGAAGAAUGAAAUGAAAAAUUAUGAAAGACAGAGGGUCAGUUUUGUAUUUUUGCCAUUAUUUUAUUAGCUACGUCAACCAACAGUGUAUUUCGUUUGUCA